Molecule: long non-coding RNA, 1615 nt
Organism: Rhea pennata
Lineage: Eukaryota; Metazoa; Chordata; Aves; Rheiformes; Rheidae
Exons: 5
Source: RefSeq, a predicted model, not a curated record
GCGGGCCGGGCCGGGCCGGGCCGGGCCGGGCCGGGCCGGGCCGAGGGCUGCCGCCCUGCGUCCGUUAGGCGCUGCGGGGAGCGGGGGGGCGAGUGGCGGCGGCUUAGGGCCUGGCCCUGGGCCCGCGCCAGCAGCGCCGGUGGAAGGGCGCCUGAAACGGACGGCACGCCUCGGCGGAUAAAACAAAAAAAUAGUUUUUUUUUUUUUUUGAUUGUUUGGAAAUUAUUUCGGAUGUUUUAUUCAUGAAAACAGAAAUGCUUAACUGCAGCUUGCUUAGAAGUUCCACGGUGUGACCUACCCGUAAGGGCAGGGCCUAAUCCACAGUCGAGAGCCUAAUCCACUGAAGCUGGUGGUUCACAAGCAAAGCUUGACUAAGGAUGGCUGGAGAGAGCUGGACAUGGAUCAUGUGUUGUCACUGUUGGCCCCAUGCCAGCAGCUGCUAGGACAUCUACUGCGGCAGACAACCCUGCUACCUCAGCUGCCUGCCAUGUAUUUUGGAGGUGCAGCAGGUAAUCCAGACUCUCCGUGAAUAAUACAAUUAAAGCACGGUAUAAAGACAUGAUGUGCCUGGACAGGAUCCAUUGGAAAUGCUUGAGUGAUUUCUUUCAUGGAUACUAUAACAUCCUGUUGUCUUUGGAGGCAAAAGCUUCUGUUAGAGAUACAUGCCAUCCUUAUAAAUAUUAAUGUCCAGCUCGCAGAAGCAAGGUACAGAGGAAGUAGCCUGGACCUGGAAUAGCUGAGAGCUGCAGGCAGCAGUUGAAGUGAAUGAAGAAGGCUGUACAGGGAAGUUUGCAGCAUUCCUCAUCACACUCAUCAUGGUUCCCUUUGAUGCUACCAAUUUCUCUGCUGUUGCAGACCUGCUGUGGGACCUGUGCACCGUGAGCCUCUGCCAUGUGUGCCAGCAGACUCUGCUGGGACUGGGAGAAAGAACACCUAUUCCCUGGAGUCUUCCUCUUCUGGGGUAGUGGCUUCUCAUGCCUACAAGCUUGGCCCUUUCCUGCCCACAAAUAGGCACAACUUUGUUUUCAUCAAACAGUAACCGUUCCCAAGACCCAAAGUUGGUCACUAUUUUGCCUUGCCUCUGUCCUGAUUGUAUCUGGAAGUCUGCUGGGACUGGAGUCUGCUUCUAAUAAGGCGCUUCCCAUUUCAGUGUUCUCCUUCAGCAUUCAUCACCAGUUUGCUGGUGGCAGCUCACUUUUUUUGGCUGUCUUCAGAUAUUUGAUAGUCUAAAUACAGACUUUGGUCUGGCUUUGAAAUAUUUUAGCAGACACUUUUUUUAUAUUGACAUUCUUUCCCACCAUUUUUUGGGGCCUCAGUAGAGAUAUGUCUAAACUCAUAUAUCAUUCAACUGUACCAUUUAGACUGCAGCCCACUGUCAGUGACUAUGGCAGGAUCCCAUAACUUGUGAGGUUAGAGAGACCAUUUGUUUGGUCACACUGUAUUUGUGAAAGUUAUUUCAGGGAAGUGAACUGUCUAAAGUAAGUAAAGAGAUUUUUCAGUCUAAGUUCCUUUAUUAAAAAAAAAAAAAAUCUCUACUGCUGGUUGGUGUUCCAGGGAGCAGUGUUGUAGUAUUGGUUUAUCUAAUAUUUUGGGGGGGUUGAAAGUUAUCCUAGUC